ACGCUGGCGGCACGCCUAACACAUGCAAGUCGAACGAAGUAGCAAUACUUAGUGGCAGACGGGUGAGUAACAUGUAGGUAUCUGCCCUUUGGCCUGGAAUAACACGAGGAAACUUGUGCUAAUACCGGAUAAGUCUUUACGGAGAAAGCUUUAUGCACCAUUGGAUGAGCCUGCACUUGAUUAGUUUGUUGGUGGGGUAAUGGCCUACCAAGACUGUGAUCAAUAGCUGAUUUGAGAGGAUGAUCAGCCACAUUGGGACUGAGACACGGUCCAAACUCCUACGGGAGGCAGCAGUAGGGAAUCUUGCACAAUGGAGGAAACUCUGAUGCAGCGAUGCCGCGUGAGUGAAGAAGGCCUUUGGGUUGUAAAGCUCUUUCGUCGGGGAAGAAAAUGACUGUACCCGAAUAAGAAGGUCCGGCUAACUUCGUGCCAGCAGCCGCGGUAAUACGAAGGGACCUAGCGUAGUUCGGAAUUACUGGGCUUAAAGAGUUCGUAGGUGGUUAAAAAAGUUGGUGGUGAAAUCCCAGAGCUUAACUCUGGAACUGCCAUCAAAACUUUUUAGCUAGAGUAUGAUAGAGGAAAGCAGAAUUUCUAGUGUAGAGGUGAAAUUCGUAGAUAUUAGAAAGAAUACCGAUUGCGAAGGCAGCUUUCUGGAUCAUUACUGACACUGAGGAACGAAAGCAUGGGUAGCGAAGAGGAUUAGAUACCCUCGUAGUCCAUGCCGUAAACGAUGUGUGUUAGACGUUGGAAAUUUAUUUUCAGUGUCGCAGCGAAAGCGAUAAACACACCGCCUGGGGAGUACGACCGCAAGGUUAAAACUCAAAUGAAUUGACGGGGACCCGCACAAGUAGUGGAGCAUGUGGUUUAAUUCGAAGAUACGCGCAGAACCUUACCAACACUUGACAUGUUCGUCGCGACUCUAAGAGAUUAGAGUUUUCGGUUCGGCCGGACGAAACACAGGUGCUGCAUGGCUGUCGUCAGCUCGUGUCGUGAGAUGUUGGGUUAAGUCCCGCAACGAGCGCAACCCUCACUUUUAGUUGCCAUCAUUAAGUUGGGCACUCUGAAAGAACUGCCAGUGAUAAGCUGGAGGAAGGUGGGGAUGACGUCAAGUCCUCAUGGCCCUUACGUGUUGGGCUACACACGUGCUACAAUGGUAUCUACAACAGGAAGCAAAACAGCGAUGUUAAGCAAAUCCCCAAAAGAUACCUCAGUUCGGAUUGCACUCUGCAACUCGAGUGCAUGAAGCUGGAAUUACUAGUAAUCGUGGAUCAGCGUGCCACGGUGAAUGCGUUCCCGGGUCUUGUACACACCGC
RNAcentral lists this ribosomal RNA (1313 nucleotides) under uncultured Alphaproteobacteria bacterium. Its description in RNAcentral is "uncultured alpha proteobacterium 16S ribosomal RNA". It matches the Rfam family "Bacterial small subunit ribosomal RNA", at positions 33 to 1393 of the family's 1533-position model. Lineage: Bacteria; Pseudomonadati; Pseudomonadota; Alphaproteobacteria. The record is from RNAcentral.